GAGUAAAUCGUUAGAAGAAGGAAAACAUAAUUGAAAGAUACGCCUAUAAAUUCAAGACGAAGUCGAUAAACCGAUCAAUAAUAUUAAUUGGACCACUUUGAAAGCGAGAAAUUUCCAAUUUCAAGGUAGAAUACUGCAGGAGAAUUCAUCAUUCAAGACGUAUUUACUCCGAAAUAUUACUGAUUCUAUAAAAUAUGAAACGGAACUUGAUCAGCUCAUUUGGACGAAUAUGAUCAGUUCAUUCUGUAGUUUACUAGAACCUGUAGGAAAAAAAUUAGUUUCUUUAGGAAGAUGGGCAUUUUGGUAUAUGUUAUUAUCUCCAGUCUUUUUAAGCUAGAAUCUUUUAGUGAAUCAGGCAAACAUUGAGCAAUCCUAUAUGGAACAACGAAACGAGGAAGAAGAAGAGAUUUCUAGUAAAUCCGAGAGUAAAUCAUGGUUAUCUUUUAUGAUACGCUUCAUGAUGAACUUACUUAGAC
This is a long non-coding RNA of Harmonia axyridis, 476 nucleotides long. RefSeq lists it as uncharacterized. Lineage: Eukaryota; Metazoa; Arthropoda; Insecta; Coleoptera; Coccinellidae. The record is from RefSeq and is a predicted model, not a curated record. The transcript is spliced from 3 exons.